CUAAGUUUGAUGGCGACCGGCGCACGGGUGAGUAACACGUAUCCAACCUGCCGAUGACUCGGGGAUAGCCUUUCGAAAGAAAGAUUAAUACCCGAUGGCAUAGUUCUUCCGCAUGGUGGAACUAUUAAAGAAUUUCGGUCAUCGAUGGGGAUGCGUUCCAUUAGGUUGUUGGUGGGGUAACGGCCCACCAAGCCUUCGAUGGAUAGGGGUUCUGAGAGGAAGGUCCCCCACAUUGGAACUGAGACACGGUCCAAACUCCUACGGGAGGCAGCAUG
This 275-nucleotide ribosomal RNA is filed under the name uncultured bacterium. RNAcentral's name for it is "partial 16S ribosomal RNA". It matches the Rfam family "Bacterial small subunit ribosomal RNA", at positions 79 to 353 of the family's 1533-position model. The record is from RNAcentral.